Molecule: non-coding RNA, 1809 nt
Organism: Mauremys mutica (yellowpond turtle)
Lineage: Eukaryota; Metazoa; Chordata; Testudines; Geoemydidae
Source: the annotation of a RefSeq genome assembly
AUGGCCGUUAGUGCCACGGCCCCAUCUGUCUUCCCCCUGACCUCCUGCACCGGCGAAGUCACCACCUCCCCGGUCACCUUCGGCUGCCUGGCCCAAGGCUACUUCCCCGAGCCGGUCACCGUGACAUGGAGCCCCAACGUCGGCUCCUCGGGCGUGAGGACCUAUCCCUCCGUGCUGCAACCUUCCAGCGGCCUCUACUCGCUCAGCAGCCAGGUCACCGUCCCGGCCACCAGCUGGGAGUCUAACACCUAUCGAUGCACCGUAGAGCACCAGCCCACCAGCUCCAGCAUCUCCAAGGAAAUCCCAAAGCCCCCCAAACCCAUGGUGGAACUCUUCUACUCCUGCACCGACUCAGGCGCCAUCCAGGCCGUGUGUUUGAUCUCCCACUUCAACAGCGCGGAUUUGACAGUGGAUUGGAUAGUGAAUUUCCAGAUACAAAAGGGUGACAUUGACCAGCCCACAAAGGACGCCAACGGCCAGACCUUCAGCACCCGCAGCCGUUUCACUGUGACCGAGUGGCCGGGUGACUCUCCCCUCAUCUGCCAGGUGUCCCAGCCGGGCACCUCCAUGAAAUUGCAGGCCCACGCCCAGAAAUGCCAAGAGCCCCAUGAACCCCAUGAACCCCAGGCCCCCAUUACACCCAAGGUGAAAAUCGUCUCCAACACCAACCGAGACCCCGUCCAGCUCACGUGCUUAAUCUCCGGCUUCUACCCUGAGACUCUGACGGUGGAAUGGCUGGUUGACGGGCAGCCCAGGAAACUUCCUGGUGACACCGCCCUUACCACAAAGGACGCCAACGGCCCCACCUACAGCACCCGCAGCAAUGUCACUGUCUCCAAGGCCGAUUGGCGGAAGGUCAAGUUAUACACGUGCCAGGUGUCCCAGCCGGGCACCUCCAUCAAAUCGCAGGGCCACACCAACAAGUGCGGAGAAGAAACAACGUCUCCCAGCAACAUCCAAGUCUUCCUGGUGCCCCCGUCUCCUGCCGACUUGUAUGUGAACCAGAGCCCCAUGCUCUCCUGCCUGGUGGUCAACCUGCCUAGCAACUGCAGCCUCCAGGUGGUCUGGUCCCGAGAGAAGCCGGGCUCCAUUGUCCCUGAACCCCUGACCCUCACUGAGCAGUUCAACAGCACCAUCACCGCCUCCAGCUCCAUGCCCAUCCUCACCCGCGACUGGGAGGCCGGAGUGACCUUCACCUGUGAAGUGAACCACUCAGAGCUGCCCUCACCCCUCAUCAAAUCGAUCUCCAAGAAGACAGGCAGGCGCUCUGCCCCUGGCAUCUACCUCCUGCACCCCCACAACGAGGAGCUGAGCAGCUCCGAAGACUCCGUCAGCCUCACCUGCCUGGUGCGGGGCUUCUUCCCCGAGGACAUCUCGGUGCAGUGGAUGAAGAACCACAAACCCAGAGAGAGUUUGGAAUAUAUCACCACCCAGCCCAUCAAGGACAGAGCCGGCGACUCAAACUUCUUCCUCUACAGCAAGCUGACAGCCAGCAAGGCCAGCUGGAACAGAGGGGACAUCUACACCUGCAUGGUCAUCCACGAAGCCCUCUCAUUGAAGUUCACCCAACGCAGCAUCAGCAAAGUAUCUGAGGUGAUCGUGUCAGGUGAGUUUUGCAGCGAGGACAGAGACGAGGAGCUGGACGGCCUCUGGUCCACCAUCUCGGUCUCCAUCACCCUCUUCCUCUUGAGCGUGUGCUACAGUGCCACCGUGACUAUGUUCAAGGUGAAGUGGCUUUUCUCUGCCAUGGGGGAGCUGAAUCAGGCGAGUGGCCCCGAGUACAAGAACGAGAUCCAGGGCGUGGUGUAG